UUACGGGAGGCAGCAGCUAAGAAUCUUGCGCAAUGGGCGAAAGCCUGACGCAGCAAUUCCGCGUGGGGGACGAAGGCCCUCGGGUCGUAAACCCCUUUUGUGAGGGAAGAAGUUCUGACGGUACCUCACGAAUAAGACACGGCUAACUACGUGCCAGCAGCCGCGGUAAUACGUAGGUGUCGAGCGUUGUCCGGAUUUAUUGGGCGUAAAGCGCCCGCAGGCGGCUUGGUAAGUUCGAGGUGAAAUCUCCCGGCUCAACUGGGAGGGUGCCUCGAAAACUAUCAGGCUUGAGGCAGGGAGAGGGAUGUGGAAUUCCCGGUGUAGUGGUGAAAUGCGUAGAUAUCGGGAGGAACACCAGUGGCGAAGGCGGCAUCCUGGCCCUGUCCUGACGCUCAGGGGCGAAAGCGUGGGGAGCAAACCGGAUUAGAUACCCGUGUAGUCC
Molecule: ribosomal RNA, 442 nt
Filed under: uncultured bacterium
Lineage: Bacteria
Description: bacterial SSU rRNA
Rfam family: Bacterial small subunit ribosomal RNA
Source: RNAcentral